Molecule: ribosomal RNA, 437 nt
Filed under: uncultured bacterium
Lineage: Bacteria
Description: partial 16S ribosomal RNA
Rfam family: Bacterial small subunit ribosomal RNA
Source: RNAcentral
AGCGAACGCUGGCGGCAGGCUUAACACAUGCAAGUCGAGCGGGCAUCCUUGUGGUGUCAGCGGCAGACGGGUGAGUAACGCGUGGGAACGUGCCCUUCGGUUCGGAAUAACUCAGGGAAACUUGAGCUAAUACCGGAUACGUGCGAGAGCAGAAAGGUUUAGCUGCCGAAGGAUCGGCCCGCGUCUGAUUAGUUAGUUGGUGAGGUUAUGGCUCACCAAGGCGACGAUCAGUAGCUGGUCUGAGAGGAUGAUCAGCCACACUGGGACUGAGACACGGCCCAGACUCCUACGGGAGGCAGCAGUGGGGAAUAGUGGACAAUGGGGGCAACCCUGAUCCAGCCAUGCCGCGUGAGUGAUGACGGCCUUAGGGUUGUAAAGCGCUUUUCUUCGGGACGAUAAUGACGGUACCGGAGGAAUAAGCCCCGGCUAACUUCGUG